AUGGACGUAGUUCAAUGGUAGAACAUCGGUCUCCAAAACCGAGUACGUGGGUUCGAUUCCUACCGUCCGUGC
RNAcentral lists this transfer RNA (72 nucleotides) under Gordonia phage GMA2. RNAcentral describes it as "tRNA-Trp". It matches the Rfam family "tRNA". From Rfam's summary of the family: Transfer RNA (tRNA) molecules are approximately 80 nucleotides in length. Their secondary structure includes four short double-helical elements and three loops (D, anti-codon, and T loops). Lineage: Duplodnaviria; Heunggongvirae; Uroviricota; Caudoviricetes. The record is from RNAcentral.